CCUACGGGAGGCUGCAGUGAGGAAUAUUGGUCAAUGGACGAGAGUCUGAACCAGCCAAGUAGCGUGAAGGAUGACUGCCCUAUGGGUUGUAAACUUCUUUUAUAAAGGAAUAAAACGAGGCACGUGUGCCUUUUUGCAUGUACUUUAUGAAUAAGGAUCGGCUAACUCCGUGCCAGCAGCCGCGGUAAUACGGAGGAUCCGAGCGUUAUCCGGAUUUAUUGGGUUUAAAGGGAGCGUAGGUGGGUUGUUAAGUCAGUGGUGAAAGUUUGCGGCUCAACCGUAAAAUUGCAAUUGAUACUGGUAGUCUUGAGUAUAGUUGAGGUAGGCGGAAUUCGUGGUGUAGCGGUGAAAUGCUUAGAUAUCACGAAGAACCCCGAUUGCGAAGGCAGCUUACUAAGCUGUGACUGACAUUGAUGCUCGAAAGUGUGGGUAUCAAACAGGAUUAGAUACCCCAGUAGUC
Molecule: ribosomal RNA, 460 nt
Filed under: uncultured bacterium
Lineage: Bacteria
Description: partial 16S ribosomal RNA
Rfam family: Bacterial small subunit ribosomal RNA
Source: RNAcentral